This 253-nucleotide ribosomal RNA is filed under the name uncultured bacterium. RNAcentral describes it as "partial 16S ribosomal RNA". It matches the Rfam family "Bacterial small subunit ribosomal RNA", at positions 524 to 776 of the family's 1533-position model. The record is from RNAcentral.
UACGUAGGGGGCUAGCGUUGUCCGGAAUCAUUGGGCGUAAAGCGCGUGUAGGCGGCCCGGUAAGUCCGCUGUGAAAGUCGGGGGCUCAACCCUCGAAAGCCGGUGGAUACUGUCGGGCUCGAGUACGGAAGAGGCGAGUGGAAUUCCUGGUGUAGCGGUGAAAUGCGCAGAUAUCAGGAGGAACACCGGUGGCGAAGGCGGCUACCUGGACAGAAACUGACGCUGAGGCGCGAAAGCUAGGGGAGCAAACAGG